This 611-nucleotide long non-coding RNA is filed under the name Bos taurus (domestic cattle). RNAcentral's name for it is "long non-coding RNA NONBTAT019302". Lineage: Eukaryota; Metazoa; Chordata; Mammalia; Artiodactyla; Bovidae. The record is from RNAcentral.
UCUUGAAAUUAGUACCUGAAAUAUUUUCAAGGGAAAUGAACACUUGUAAGAUAUUUUGGAGCAUAAUCUAUAACUUAAUAUUUUUAAGUAGCUUAAUUUUCUGUUAAAUCUGUGAUUAUUCCAAUAAAGAUAAUAGAUAGACUAAUUAUAAAGAAGAGAUUAAUGGAUUUGAGAUUUGAAAUAAUAGUUUGAAAAUAUUAGACACCAGAUAAACUGCUUGCAAUUUCUAAAUAGCUAUCUUUACUGUACAUGUAACAUGUAAAGGACCAUGGUUUUAUUUGUGUGCAUUUUUUCUAUGCUUUUUUGUUUGUUUAGGCAAAUGACAUAAUUAUUUUCUCAAAGAAUUCAUGAAUUAUUAUUACUCAAAGAAUUAUUUUCUCAAAGAAAAUAAAAUUCACUUUGGAUCUUCUGACUCGUAGUUUAGGAAUAACACAGUGUGGUGUUCAAAUAGAUAGGAAGUGAUUGCCAAAACAAAAUGAAAGUGACUUAAAAACUUCAAACGUCAGCCUGAUGAAUCUUUGUGGUUCUUAGCCUUAUCAUUAUUGCAAUAUAAUUCUGGAUGUUUAAUUGGAGUACGUGUCCCCAACUUUCCCUCAUGCCAUUUGACUUUC